AUAUUGUUUGAACCUGGGAGAUGGGGGUUGCAGUGAGCCAAGAUCUUGCCAGUGCACUCCAGCCUAGGGGACAGAG
RNAcentral lists this small nuclear RNA (76 nucleotides) under Homo sapiens (human). RNAcentral describes it as "partial ncRNA". The record is from RNAcentral. Lineage: Eukaryota; Metazoa; Chordata; Mammalia; Primates; Hominidae.